GUAGGUGAACCUGCGGAAGGAUCAUUACUGAGUUCAUGCCCUAACGGGUAGAUCUCCCACCCUUGAAUAUAUAAACCUUUGUUGCUUUGGCGGGCCGCUUCGGCUACCGGCUUCGGCUGGUGAGUGCCCGCCAGAGAACCCAAAACUCUGAAUUACAGUGUCGUCUGAGUACUAUAAAAUAGUUAAAACUUUCAACAACGGAUCUCUUGGUUCUGGCAUCGAUGAAGAACGCAGCAUCUGACUGACUUCG
RNAcentral lists this unclassified non-coding RNA (250 nucleotides) under plant metagenome. RNAcentral's name for it is "partial contains small subunit ribosomal RNA, internal transcribed spacer 1, and 5.8S ribosomal RNA". The record is from RNAcentral.